UCCACGUUCUGCUGACAUCAGCUGGAGCUGGGGAAGCUCUGCAGGUGGGGCUCACCUGAGCAGGGCAGGCAAGCUUGGCCAGGUCACAGCGAGCUCCAGGUCCUUGUCCUCAGGGCUGCUCUUGAUCCCUUGGUCCCAGUCCGGUGUUGUGCUGGGGAGUGCCCAGACACAGAACCAGGACCUUCCCCUGGCCCUGCUGAACUCCGGGCGAAUUCAGGAGCCCACCUCUCCAGCCUGCCUGGAUCCUCCUGGAUCCCAGCUGGAUUUACAACCAGACACUCACACACACAACUCUUCUAUUUUAUGUAGCUCUGGCUACAUAUAAAUCUAUUUCCAUGUGUGUGGAUGUAUAUACAGGAUUAUAAAUAUAUUUAAUACAUUAUACAGAGAUACAUAUUUUCAUUCCUAUAACACAUACACAUGUAUUUCUAUAAUACAUACACAUAUAUUCUGACCAUCUCUCCUCUCACACUCCAUAAUAUAUUUUAUAUAUUUAAUAUAUGCAUUUUAAUAAAAUAUCUGGGUAUGUACACAGACACAGCCUUUCACACGUCUUUAUAUCUAUAUAUCUGUAUGUUUACACUAAAUCACACAUACCUUAAUAUGUCUCGCUCAGCCUCCUCUGGCCCUGCUGUGCUAGCAGCCAGAGCACGGCCAGCCCAUGCUGGGCUGGACUGGGCCUGUGCAGAGCCCCCACCAUGGGCAGAGCCCCCAGUGCUGCACAGCAGGGCUGGGCAGAGCCCCCACCAUGGGCAGAGCCCCCAGCACAGGCAGGAACCCCCUGUGCUAAGCAGGACGCCUGCCAGGAACAUCCAUUUGAAGGCUGCCCUCAGGUCACAGCCCUGCUGCUGAGGUUUCCCACCAUUCAGUUUAACCUUUCUGAAAGGUUCCCAGCGUGGUGCUGGGCUAAGCUGUCUCCCCACUUUUUUUCUCUUCAUUUGUUUUGUCCGUGCUGUUCAUUUUCAGAUCCAUUUGAACUGCUCUGUGGGCUGGACAACCCAGCUACAGGGAAUUAACCUCUCCCACAUCUCCAAACCAUCCUGAGUGCCAUCAGCAAGAGCAAACUUGGGGCCCUUCAACUUUCAGAAGAAUUACUGUUAGCACACCCUUCCAUAGACCAAACCCAGAGACUCUGUGGUGGGUUUCACUUCCAGGACAGAUCUACACCACUGCUCAGUGUUGUCUGGUUUACAGUACACAAUGCAAUGCAAAAAUACCACUCAUGUUUGUGUUUUCAAGCAACACUUACCACUGCUGGGCUCAUUGUAGUAUCGACUGAUGUAAUUAUUCAUGUCAUCCUCUGAAAGAUCAAAAAGGCAGCCCUUAGAAGACCAUUUAUUUAAUUAAAUGGCUGAAUCCCACCCCAUGGCAGGCCUUCCUCUCCCUGCAUGCCCAGAGCCACCUGCUCUGGAUUUUUAGGCCACAAUGCAUUAUACCCCCAUCCACGCUGUGGCUGCAGCCAACACAGGGAUUGGAUUAUCCUUUGUCACAGUCCUUUAGCGCACCAGCCUGGAGAUGAGGCAUUUUGGGCUCCAAAGGAAAGGUGCUCUGUGAUCUUUUCAGAGGCUGAUGCGGGGCUGGCCAGUUCCCCAGGCCUGUCCCCUUGCUGCUGUAGAGACAAACAUAACACUGGCCUUUCCCUGGUCAGCAGGGCCCUCCCCUCCUACACAGGGCACACAGAAAAAACCUUGUAUUUAUCCUGACAGGCUGAACCAAGGGCACCAGCACAGGCAGACUUAUUCCUGCUGUACACUGACAUCCCCAAGUCACCUCCUUCCCCACAGAAGAAAGGGAGACACCACGUAUGAUUUUAAUGUGUAAUUCCCUACCUUCUAAGAUGUCUUUUUUUUUCCAUUUCAAAUGAAUGAAGAGUUAUUUUGGUGUAUGUAACACAUGCAUAUAAAUAUACAGCAUAAUGUUAACAUUACACUAUUUGUUGGCUUAAAACCUACUAUGAAGUGUUCUACAAAUCAAGGGUGUAGUACUUAACUUGUAGUACAUGCAUGAGAGCUACACCUGAACUUCAACAACAGCAAGUUAAAAAUGAAGAUGUGACCACAGAAGGGAAAGCAACAGCUCUACUGCAUGGAUAGAUUUUAGAUGCUGCAGAUGACAAGGGAAUUUACUAUUAUCUUAUGGAAAAGCUGAACAUUUCACUGUUGUGGAAAAAGAAGAUUAAAUUCUCUUGUUCUGAGCAGAAGGCAAACACUGCUGCUAAGAAACAGUAUCAGCAGGGCUCGAGAAUGUCAGGCUUCCAAGCAACCUGACCUGCCCAGUUUGCGGUGUAUCUGUGCUCUAAAAGCAUUCUCUCCUUUUAAGUGCUCUUUUUGAUACUAUGUUUCAGAAACCCAUGCUCAUCCCUUUGAGCCAGAUUUCCUUCGUCCCCCUGGGCCUCUGUGGCUACAGUCCUGCCUCAUCACAGCACACUGCGGUUUGCAGGUGAAAGAAACAGAUGUUUUCUGGGGAACACUUUCCUCACACAACAAAACCCAAACCACCAAGCACUCUGUACCUGAAAUAGCUGCACUCAUAAGAAGGCAAUCUAACCUGACACUGAAAGGCAACGUGGUUGUUUUCCUGGUUUCAUUGGAUCUUAAAAGCUUUUUCGGCCCUUGUUGAUCUUUAAAUGCCUGCAGUCAGAGGUGUGCUUUGUGCUAAUGUCUGAGUUUAAAAAAGAAGCCUCAGAGUAGCUCAAGGCGAUGCCGCUGAAUUAGGAAUACAUUGCAAGGCUUUUCAGCUAUCUGCUACUAAAAUACACUUCAUUUCAAUCAUGCAUAAUUGAUACUCUCAGUGCCACCAAACCUGCCAGCCAUACAGACACAGGUUCUGGUUCAGGCAUGGAACCUUCAGAGGAUACCUGUGUAGCUGUACUUCUGGUAGGGCAUUUUCAGCAUCUUGAACUUGGAGUUCAGUUCUAAGCAGACAAACGAGGAAAACAGCACAGCACCCUGGCUGGACAAGGGUCACCCUCCUUGUCACCUGGCAAAAGCCACAAACUGGGUGCUCCCAGUACAGUCUCUCCAAAUGCCAAGACACUUUGCAUCAAAGACAGAAAACAGCUGGAAAAGUUACUCACUCUCUUUUCAUGUCUUAAAGACAAGGCUCAAAUCAAGGCUUCUUUAGAACUGCACACAUUUGCUGCCCUGCCACCUGUCUGACAGCUGACAGAAUGUACCAGGGCACUGUUCCCAAACCCAUCCAUUGUGUUCAAGUUAGCAAGGAGAACCAGGCUGCUCUUUAUGUCAGCAGUGGACAAUACCAAACACCUGCAGAGGAACUCCAGUAAUGCACUGCCCCUGCUCCUUUUGAGCUGUGAGGAGAAUUCUGGACUGGCCUGGCCCUGUGUGUGGCCACUUGCACACAAGACUGGGGGAGCUCCCAGCUGCCUACUUUAAUGCUCUUCUGUGAUGGCCUUAUUAAUGUCAUUGCUUACCACUGCUUAUCUUUUAGCUAUAAAUUAAAUAUAUACGUAGAAAUAUAUCCAUAUGUGCAUGUGUAUGUAAAUAUAAAACACAUAUAUUUAACCAUGAGUAGUUUCUUAUGAAUAAAAACCAAUAAAGAGUAAUGAAAUAACAGUAGCAGAAUAAAUACUUCAACAGAUUACGUUUCUGAAUCAUUACAUUAAAGCAAACUGACAAUUAACAAACUCAUCUGAGUCAUAUGGGAGUCUCAGCUGCUUUGGGCAUUGAAGGUUAUAAACAAUUCCAGUUACCUCCCAUUAUAUUCUACAUUGCUGAAAAAAAAGGAGUUCCAAAGAGUGCAACAAAUACACAACUGAAAGCACCUAUGUGUGCAUAUAAAAUGUACCCACAAAGCCACAGUUGUGCACAGUAACACAGAACACUGCUGAAGUGCUUGUGGGGAUUCCAAGAUUAAGUCCCUGCUUGGAGUGGGAAUCCCAUGGGAUCAGGAUCGGCUUGUGGCACACGGGAAGUUUGUAGGAGCAAGCAGGGAAGAGCAGCUUUUACAAGAGGGGCAGAGCACUUGCAUUAUUUACAUUCUACACAGUGUUUUCAGUUGCAGAAAGGGAGUUGUCUUAAGAAAUACUUAAUUCUUCAAAAUUUCCAUGGGGUUUUUAGAAACUUAAAAAAAAAAAUUUAUUUCUAUCACCUUGCAAUUUUCAGGACCCAGAUUUAAUUUUCUCCUUUCCUAGAAAUAAAUCCAUCUCCUCCAAUAUACAGAAAUGUUAACUUGCACUUCCUUUUCCAGAAGACAGACUUUGCAUCUUUAGCUAUAAGGAUGCCCAUAUGGUAUUUAUAUCAAACUAAAAAACUGGCAGUAAGUAGAAAGGAAAAGCAUUUCCCUCUUAAUUCCCAUGAAAACAGCAAUCUUAGGAAAAUGUCUGUGGAUGGUGACUGGGAUCCUCUUGCUACAUGUACCAGCAGGAAUCAUAGAAACUUUUCUCUUGGAAAAGGCCUUUAAGAUUGAGUCCACCAGUAAACCUAACACUGCCAAGCCCACCACUAAGCCAUGUCCCUCUGUGCCACAUCCACCCAUACAAAUGACCCCAAGGAAAUCUGGAUGACAGGAAAUUUAGUCAUGAAGAUCCAAAAGGUGUGAGCUGAGAAGGCAGAAUGGGGAGAGUGAGGCAGCUCUUCUCCAUGUGAAAACCUGUGGCAAACAAGGAUGGAUCUACAAUCUUUCCUGCAAAGUGGAAGUAUGGGAGGCAGUGAGAUCCACAGCAGCACUGUGGAGGAAUUCAGCUGAGUUCUGCUGAGCAGGAGAAGGAAGGAGCAGAACAGGCUGUUCUCUGUGAUCCAUGAGCAGUGUUUGCUCAAGCAGUGUGGGCUGACAGCUCCAAGAGGUGAGGCAGCAGAGACCACAAAUGGACAGUGAGGCCGACUCCAACAUGAUCGGUGCUUUCACUCCACAGAAGGGAAUAUCUGACUGGGAAGGCUGCUGAGACUCUGACCUAUCUCACAUAAACCCAACCUCCCCUGGCACUGUAACCAACCACUCCUGCAAGGCUGUUCACUGCAGUCCCAUCUCUUUUGCCUACUGCCCAAAUCCCUGUUAUUGAAAAAACGUGUGGUUCUCAGUCAGGAUCUGUCUGACAACCCACUGGAUUUUGUCUGAUGAAGGUUUCCAAGUUAUCUGCUUGUUCUUUUCCUGUAGGACUCAAAACACACACUGCAAUGGUUCAGGGAGUAAUAAACUAUUUAGAGUACAGUGCCAUAUAAUCUCAUCUGACCCGAGAGACAACAUCGCAAUCUCUCUCUCUUGGCCCCAUAAAAACCUAAUAAAUUUGGUGAAACAUAUAAAUGACAUUCUACCCAAGGCAGAUCUCUUUCAGCUCUAUAAUGCCUCAACAGCGAUUUUUAGUUGUUUCAUCAGUGCCUUCAGUGAAUGAUCUGCAACUCCCCUGCAUACAAGAAAAGGCCUUAAAAAGGUGGUUUUGUUUGAAAUAUUUCAUUAUUAGAGUGUUUUAUUUCAUAUUUUUAUUGCUAUUGGUUGUACUGCCUUCUGUCUCUCCAAGCUGAAUUUUCUGAACUGGAAGUUAUUUUUUCUGCUGUGCAGCCUCCCACUGAGGAAGUGGGUCCUCAGAGUAAUGUCUUACCCCAACUUCCCUCCAAAAAACAAUCUUUACUAGGAGGUUUCUAAAGAGGCAGGUCUUUCAUCUGUUUCAAUAGGAACCAGGAGUAGCCAGCUGGCACUUUCCAGGAGACUUCCCCUGCUUUUGGUUUGAAAACAGAUUGCCACAUUAGCACAAGCUGCAGUACUCACACCACUGUUAAUUCACAUACGCAUCCAGUCCCUGUAGAGGCUGGAUGGAUGCCUGAGCACAUGGAUAUUCCAUCUUGAGAGCAACUGUAAAGGCAGCUUGCAGAGAAAACAGAGCAACAGCUUCAGCCUGGUUCUAAGUAAGAAAUCAACCUGUGGUCGAAGUCAUUGUGCAAAAAGAAAUCUGGGAUAUGGAACAAGCUCUAUUAUCAGCAGAUGCUGCUGGGACAGAAACUCAAAAUCCUGACAACAAAUGGGGGGCUUUGGGCCUCACUUGAGCAGAUGAUGCAGCAAGAGCACUGUGAGCUGACUUGAGCAUGGCUGGGAUGCAGCACAGCUCUGUGGCAGCGUGGCUGUAGGCACAGGAUGGCCUGGGGAUUCUCAGUGCUCUUUCCAACCUUGUUCUCAAUGAGUAUGGAUCAGCAGAUCCACAUCUGAGUUGGCUCGUCACAGUCAGCCUGAAGCAGACUCAGAGGAACUUGGGUCUGCUUCUGUGAAACAGCAACAUCUCCUGAGUCUAAAAUAAAAAGGCUAAGGAAGAAUAUGGCUGCCACCAAAACAACCAUCAAGACAAGAAUAAAUUAAGCGAAAGGAUUCAAGAACAAACUGUUAUAAACUGGCAACAAAUGUAAUCUGAGAAUUAGGAAAAGACUUCUAAUACUUUAGAAACCAAGCUGCUGGAAUGGCGGCAGAGGGCAGAACACAUCACUGCUGUCACAGGAAGCACCAUCUGCUUAUGAAAGGGAUCAUUAUGAAAGGACUGCAUGCUUAGACAGUGGAAAACAUUCCAGUUCUGUGUUCCUUUACCUGUCAGCAAUGUCUUCACACAUCUUCACAUUAAUGAUGAGAGACAACUUCAACCUCACAGGCGUGACUGUAGGCUCAGCCCUUCUGGGAGUGAGCAGUUUCUACCCCACCCAUUUGGUGACUAUGAAAUACAAGAGCCUAACUCCACUAACUGCACACACAUUUCUCUAAGUGUUGCUUAAGGUUUAAUUCCUUUGAUUCCUGCCUGGAUGGUCAGUGCACAGGGAACCACAAAGCCUGAAAGAGGCACCUAGAGAGAAGCCAAGUUGAAGUGGCAUGCACUUAAGAUACUUAAGAUUUCCAGGAGUAGACUUCAAAGUAGAUACAUUUCAGCAUUUGAAAAUAACCAUAAACUAUUUUUUAUCUAUUGUUUUGCACUAACAGGGUUCUAUUAGAGCACUAACAGAUGAUCACCAAAGGAACUGGCUUAGAGUUUAAAAGCAUCCAACCAGCUCAGACUGCCUUGCAAGGAACAACUGACAAAAUCCUUUCCAGUGCCCUGCUUUGCCUUCUCAGACAGCUUAUGAAUAAUCUUAAGGGAAGCCCUCUGAAGCUCCAGAAUUUUUCAUGUUCCUCUCCCAAUAUCCUACUUUCUUCACUUACAAAACAGAAAUGACAUGUGAAAUCCUCUGUCUCGACUGCCUGUGCCCUGGACUGUGAACACUGAACACUACUACUGGUGUGGUGUCUCAUGCCAUCUGAGUUGGGCCCCGUGUUGGUAGCCCCGUGUGAUGACAGACUGCCACAGGCUGCUGGCCCUUGCUGUAAGAACACGGAAUUUUUUCUGUCCAGCUCCUGUCUCAUUCAACAGAAACUAGUUGUUCAAAUACAGCCACCGUAAUUUAGGUUCUGACAACAAGCACUCAAUGCAUCUAAAAGACUUUGUAUACAAUAUAUAAUACAAUGCACAAGAAACAUUUCCUCUGGUACUUUCAGAUGAUCUCCAGGAAAUGGAAAUUUAUUCUGCAUACUCAGUAUAAAUGUUUAAAUAUAACUGCACCUUACCCAA
Molecule: long non-coding RNA, 7537 nt
Organism: Corvus hawaiiensis (hawaiian crow)
Lineage: Eukaryota; Metazoa; Chordata; Aves; Passeriformes; Corvidae
Exons: 2
Source: RefSeq, a predicted model, not a curated record